This 377-nucleotide ribosomal RNA is filed under the name uncultured bacterium. RNAcentral describes it as "bacterial SSU rRNA". It matches the Rfam family "Bacterial small subunit ribosomal RNA", at positions 524 to 898 of the family's 1533-position model. The record is from RNAcentral.
GACGUAGGGUCCAAGCGUUGUCCGGAUUUACUGGGCGUAAAGAGCGCGUAGGCGGUCUGUUAAGUGAGAAGUGAAAUCUCCAGGGCUCAACCCGGAAACUGCUUUUCAUACUGGCAGACUUGAGGGAUGCAGAGGUGAAUGGAAUUCCUGGUGUAGCGGUGAAAUGCGUUGAUAUCAGGAGGAACACCCAUGGCGAAGGCAGUUCACUGGGCAUCAUCUGACGCUGAGGCGCGAAAGCGUGGGUAGCAAACAGGAUUAGAUACCCUGGUAGUCCACGCCCUAAACGAUGGAUACUAGGCGUAAGAGGUAUCGACCCCUCUUGUGCCGCAGCUAACGCACUAAGUAUCCCGCCUGGGGAGUACGGCCGCAAGGUUGAA